GACGAACGCUGGCGGCGUGCUUAACACAUGCAAGUCGAACGGAAAGGCCCUGCUUUUGCGGGGUGCUCGAGUGGCGAACGGGUGAGUAACACGUGAGUAACCUGCCCUUGACUUUGGGAUAACUUCAGGAAACUGGGGCUAAUACCGGAUAGGAGCUCCUGCUGCAUGGUGGGGGUUGGAAAGUUUCGGCGGUUGGGGAUGGACUCGCGGCUUAUCAGCUUGUUGGUGAGGUAGUGGCUUACCAAGGCUUUGACGGGUAGCCGGCCUGAGAGGGUGACCGGCGACAUUGGGACUAAGGUACGGCCCAGACGCCUACGGGAGGCAGCAGUGGGGAAUAUUGCACAAUGGGCGGAAGCCUGAUGCAGCAACGCCGCGUGCGGGAUACCGGCCUUCGGGGUGUAAACCGCUUUCGCCUGUGACGAAGCGUGAGUGACGGUAAUGGGUAAAAAAGCACCGGCUAACUACGUG
This 468-nucleotide ribosomal RNA is filed under the name uncultured bacterium. Its description in RNAcentral is "partial 16S ribosomal RNA". It matches the Rfam family "Bacterial small subunit ribosomal RNA", at positions 28 to 507 of the family's 1533-position model. The record is from RNAcentral.